GAAAUUGAAUUUUAUUGUGGACCCUUCUCUGUGGGCCCAUCUUAGUGUCCCCAUGCCAGAGUGUAUUACAUCCUCAAACCAUUGCCCAGCCUCCUUACAUGUGGGCUGUGAGCAUUGAAGGCGGUUGUAUAGUG
Small nucleolar RNA from Molossus molossus (Pallas's mastiff bat), 134 nucleotides. RefSeq annotates it as small nucleolar RNA SNORA42/SNORA80 family. The record is from RefSeq and is a predicted model, not a curated record. The transcript has a single exon. NCBI's taxonomy places the organism in Eukaryota, Metazoa, Chordata, Mammalia, Chiroptera, Molossidae.